Molecule: long non-coding RNA, 1319 nt
Organism: Prosopis cineraria
Lineage: Eukaryota; Viridiplantae; Streptophyta; Magnoliopsida; Fabales; Fabaceae
Exons: 4
Source: RefSeq, a predicted model, not a curated record
GGUAAUCAUAUAGUUUAUUGUGUUUAUUAACUAUUAUAACUAUGUAGAAGUAAAUACAAAAUGGUGAAUUUGUUGUUUUAUGAGUUUUUAUGCAUAAUUGGUUAUUGAAAAUGGUUUUAGCAUGAACAUUAGUUUAUGGAAUAUUCCAUUUAUAAUCCAUCGAUAUGAUAGGUCCCACUUGUUUUUCUUUAGAAUAAUAAAUGACCUACUUAACUCAGUGGUUAGAGUAUUGCUUUCAUAUAGCAGGAGUCAUUGGUUCAAAUCCAAUAGUAGGUAUAGGUAGAACUUUUUAGCUCCCAGAGUCAAUGGGUAUCUAAUAAGUUUUUUUAGUUUGAAUCAUCCCCUCCCGCCCAACUGUGUUAGAGUUUCUCUACUUGUUGCCAUCGACCUCAACUAUCCAUUGCCUAUUCCUAUUGAUGAGGCACAGAUGGUGGGGGAAGCAGUAAGGAGCUUUGUUGUAUGGCUUAGCCACCUUGUAAUAGUGGAACACCAAAGCCGGAAAAGGACCCAUUACUUCCAAAGAAAAAGCUGAAAGGGAAGAGCAAGCUAAAAGGUAAGUCGGGCCAUACCAAAAAGUCAGCCAUAGUUUUACAAUAUCUAACAGCACCAGUGCUAGUUGUAGAAUACAAAUACUGUGCCUCUCUUGAGACAUAUGUGAUGGCUACGAGGAUGGCUAGUCAAGUGGCGAUUGGGGAUAUCAUUAGUUUUGAUGAUGGGCUAUAUGGAAGACCGGGCUUGUUUGAAGUUUUCUAAGAUGAAAAUUUAAAUGAAAUUCUCAAGCAUGAAAUGGCCAGUACUAGUCUGAUGAGCUUCUACAUGAGCCACCUUUAUACCUCAUUUAUGGUUCCCGGUGGCCUUGAGUCAAGAUUCAAGCUGAUUAAUCCCCACGAUAUCUCUACCUAUAAUGGAAUUACAAAGGAAGCCCUUGAAGAUCAAGCAAGGUAGCUUUUGGAUCAAUUUAAGGAUAGGGGAGCAAGCAAUGAUACUUUAUUUUUUGCUCCUUACUACCAAGGGAAAAUGCGACAUAGAUGGCGCACGACCGGAGGUUCCAGCCAUCAGGGUGGGAACCGGAUGGAAUGGGAGUCACCACUAAAAUUUUGAGGGAAAUCUUGGGAAACCAAUUAAAGGAGAAUAAGGAUGGUUUGCAAAAAUAAAAAAUAGAUUCGAGAGUCAAUUGAGUGUGGGGAAGGUAUUAAGCACCCCACAACACCCGUUUGUUAGAAUGGUUACCUGAAGUUUGGUGUGCUAAAUUAAUAUGGUUUUAAAGUUAUUUUAAUUGUCCCUUUCUUGUUCAUGUGUUUGAUAUAAAAAUGAUGAUA